RNAcentral lists this ribosomal RNA (1801 nucleotides) under Musa schizocarpa. Its description in RNAcentral is "bacterial SSU rRNA". It matches the Rfam family "Eukaryotic small subunit ribosomal RNA". Lineage: Eukaryota; Viridiplantae; Streptophyta; Magnoliopsida; Zingiberales; Musaceae. The record is from RNAcentral.
CCUAGUUGAUCCUGCCAGUAGUCAUAUGCUUGUCUCAAAGAUUAAGCCAUGCAUGUGUAAGUAUGAACUAUUUCAGACUGUGAAACUGCGAAUGGCUCAUUAAAUCAGUUAUAGUUUGUUUGAUGGUACGUGCUACUCGGAUAACCAUAGUAAUUCUGAGCUAAUCGUGCAACAAAACCCCGACUUCGAAAGGGAUGCAUUUAUUAGAUAAAAAAGGCUGGCGUGGGCUUAGCCCGCUGCUCCGAUGAUUCAUGAUAACUUCGACGGAUCGCACGCCCCUCGUGCCGACGACGACGCAUCAUUCAAAUUUCUGCCCUAUCAACUUUCGAUGGUAGGAUAGGGGCCUACCAUGGUGGUGACGGGUGACGAAGAUUUAGGGUUCGAUUACGGAGAGGGAGCCCGAGAAACGGCUACCACAUCCAAGGAAGGCAGCAGUAGCAAAAAUUACCCAAUCCCCACACGGGGGAGGUAGUGACAAUAAAUAACAAUACCGGGCUCUUCGAGUCAGGUAAUUGGAAUGAGUACAAUCUAAAUCCCUUUAACGAGGAUCCAUUGGAGGCAAGUCCGGUGCCGGCAGCCGCUUGAUAAUUCCAGCUCCAAUAGCAUAUAUUUAAGUUGUUGCAGUUAAAAAGCUCGUAGUUGGACUUUGGGGCCGGGUCGGUCGGUCCGCCUCGCGGUGUGCACGGUCGUCCCAUCCCUUCUGUCGGCGAUCGUGCCUGGCCUUAAUCGGGCUGGGUGGCUGCCUCGUUGUUACUUUGAAGAAAUUAGAGUGCUCAAAAGCAGCCCCACGCUCUGGAUACAUUAGCAUGGGAUAACAUCACAAGAUUUCGGUCCUAUUGUGUUGGCCUUCGGGAUCGGAGUAAUGAUUAAGAGGGACAAUCGGGGCAUUCAGAUUUCAUAGUCGAGGUGAAAUUCUUGGAUUUAUGAAAGACGAACCACUGUGAAAAGAAUUUUCCAAGGAUGUUUUCAUUAAUCAAGAACGAAAGUUGGGGGCUCGAAGACGAUCGAUACCCGCCCUAGUCUCAACCAUAAACGAUGCCGACCCGGGGAUCGGCGGAUGUUGCUCUUAGGACUCCGCCGGCACCUUAUGAGAAAUCAAAGUCUUUGGGUUCCGAGGGGAGUAUGGUCGCAAGGCUAAAACUUAAAGGAAUUGACUAAGGGCACCACCAGAGUGGAGCCUGCAAGGGCUUAAUUUGACUCAACACGGGAAACUUACCGGUCCGGACAUAGCAAGGAUUGACAGACCGAGAGCUCUUUCUUGAUUCUAUGGGUGGUGGUGCAUGGCCGUUCUUAGUUGGUGGAGCCAUUUGUCCGGUUAAUUCGAUAAAGAACGAGACCUCACCUGCUAACUAGCUACGAGGAGGCAUCCCUCCGCGGCCAGCUUCUUAGAGGGACUAUGGCCGUUUAGGCCACGGAAGUUUGAGGCAAUAACAGGUCUGUGAUGCCCUUAGAUGUUCUGGGCCGCACGCGCCCUACACUGAUGUAUUCAACGAGUCUAUAGCCUUGGCCGACAGGCCCAGUAAUCUUUGAAAAUUUCAUCGUGAUGGGGAUUGAUCAUUGCAAUUGUUGGUCUUCAAUGAGGAAUUCCUAGUAAGCGUGAGUCAUCAGCUCGCGUUGACUACGUCCCUGCCCUUUGUACACACCGCCCGUCGCUCCUACCGAUUGAAUGGUCCGGUGAAGUGUUCGGAUCAAGGAGACGGGGGCGGUUCGCUGCCCACGACGUCACGAGAAGUCCACUGAACCUUAUCAUUUAGAGGAAGGAGAAGUCGAAACAAGGUUUCCGUAGGUGAACCUGCGGAAG